GCGUAACUUCCAUGGCAGAUUGACAACCAUUUUUACCUUCAACAGAGCUAUUAACUUUACUUCAAAGUCUCACUCCGACUUCUCAAAGUUCAUUCAAUUGUUUAGUUGGUGAUAGUGGACAUGGCUGCUUCAGGCAGGAGUAUUUUGAUCGUAGUUGCAGGUGACGGUCAUUCUGGUGUAGGAACUCCAUUGAAAGAUUACACCACUUCUCUGAUCAUCUCUUUUGAUUUCUUCCGUUUGUAGUCCUCUUUGUCUAAAGCUAUGGUGAACUGGGUAAAUUUCCUUAGAACACAACAUUUCUAUGACAAGAUGUUAUUGAUACAAUGGCUCUGCAUGUCCUGGACAGAGGUUGUGCUUUUGAAAUAGCCGAAAUGAAUCCUCUCUUCGUUGAGCUACAUUUGAAGGCUCUAUUCUCUUCCUCAGGUAACUUACUGCAACUAUAUAGCCUGGAUGGAUGUUAUUGCAGUUAAUACUACUUAUUACAUAACUUCAUCAAUUUCUCUUACAAUGAAACUAAAUUAAUAUUUCAAGCAACGUUAGAAUAGGGGAAAGCCAAUAGUUUUAUUCAAUUGUAGAACACAUUGGUUCUCUUUCUAUGUUACGCAAAACAACUAACUGACUGAAAGUAUAUAUUGAAAACACUAGAGAGGAUAAGACAUUAUUUAAUUCUCAUAUUAGUUUCAUUUUCACUUGUAUUAAAUUGGAUGUGCAUGCAGCCCUACUUUUAUCCUGUGGAGGUGAGGUUGAGAGAUUGUUUUCGAUAGACCCAAGUGAAGAAUAUCAAAAUAAAUAUUAGAAGAAA
This is a long non-coding RNA of Solanum pennellii, 802 nucleotides long. RefSeq lists it as uncharacterized. NCBI's taxonomy places the organism in Eukaryota, Viridiplantae, Streptophyta, Magnoliopsida, Solanales, Solanaceae. The transcript is spliced from 3 exons. The record is from RefSeq and is a predicted model, not a curated record.